This 119-nucleotide ribosomal RNA is filed under the name Pteropus alecto (black flying fox). Lineage: Eukaryota; Metazoa; Chordata; Mammalia; Chiroptera; Pteropodidae. The record is from RNAcentral.
GUCUACGGCCAUGCCACCCUGAACAAGCCUGAUCCUGUCUGAUCUCGGAAGCUAAGCAGGGUUGGGCCUGGUUAAUACUUGGAUGGGAGACCACCUAGGAAGACCAGGUGCUGUAGGUG